GUGCUCACUUCGGCAGCACAUAUACUAAAAUUGGAAAGAUACAGAGAAGACUAGCGUGGCCCCUGCACAAGGAUGACACGCAAAUUCGUGAAGCAUUCCAUAUUUUU
This 107-nucleotide small nuclear RNA is filed under the name Tursiops truncatus (common bottlenose dolphin). Lineage: Eukaryota; Metazoa; Chordata; Mammalia; Artiodactyla; Delphinidae. The record is from RNAcentral.